UCCUUUGUUGCCAGCGGUUAGGCCGGGAACGUCAAAGGAGACUGCCAGUGAUAAACUGGAGGAAGGUGGGGAGUGACGUCAAGUCAUCAUGGCCCUUACGACCAGGGCUACACACGUGCUACAAUGGCGCAUACAAAGAGAAGCGACCUCGCGAGAGCAAGCGGACCUCAUAAAGUGCGUCGUAGUCCGGAUUGGAGUCUGCAACUCGACUCCAUGAAGUCGGAAUCGCUAGUAAUCGUGGAUCAGAAUGCCACGGUGAAUACGUUCCCGGGCCUUGUACACACCGCCCGUCACACCAUGGGAGUGGGUUGCAAAAGAAGUAGGUAGCUUAACCUUCGGGAGGGCGCUUACCACUUUGUGAUUCAUGACUGGGGUGAAGUCGUAACAAGGUAACCGUAGGGGAACCUGCGGUUGGAUCACCUCCUUACCUUAAAGAA
This 437-nucleotide ribosomal RNA is filed under the name Salmonella enterica subsp. enterica serovar Moscow str. SA20061414. RNAcentral describes it as "bacterial SSU rRNA". It matches the Rfam family "Bacterial small subunit ribosomal RNA", at positions 1108 to 1533 of the family's 1533-position model. Lineage: Bacteria; Pseudomonadati; Pseudomonadota; Gammaproteobacteria; Enterobacterales; Enterobacteriaceae. The record is from RNAcentral.